UGAAUACGAGAUGCUACGGCGUCGAAGCAGUCUAUGUCAUACUUCCAAGAAAAGCUUGCACUGUCAUAAACAAAUAAUGCCUGUACCAUAACCGACACAGGUGGGUAGGUAGAGUAUACUAAGGGGCGCGAGAUAACUCUCUCUAAGGAACUCGGCAAAAUGACUCCGUAACUUCGGGAGAAGGAGUGCCUUAUUUAUAAGGUUGCAAUAACAAGAUCCAAGCAACUGUUUACCAAAAACACAGGUCUCCGCUAAGUCGUAAGACGAUGUAUGGGGGCUGACGCCUGCCCAGUGCCAGAAGGUUAAAGAAGUUGGUUAGCAUCCGCGAAGCUGAUAACUGAAGCCCUGGUGAACGGCGGCCGUAACGAUAACGGUCCUAAGGUAGCGAAAUUCCUUGUCGGGUAAGUUCCGACCCGCACGAAAGGCGUAAUGAUUUGGAUACUGUCUCGGAGAGGGGCUCGGUGAAAUAGACUUGUCUGUGAAGAUGCGGACUACCUGCACCAGGACAGAAAGACCCUAUGAAGCUUUACUGUAACCUGAAAUUGAAAUUGGACUUUACUUGCGCAGUAUAGGUGGGAGGCGUUGAGAAUAUUCUUGCGGGAUUAUUGGAGCCAUCAGUGAGAUACCACUCUUGUAAUGUUAGAUUUCUAACUUUGUAUCAUUAUCUGGUCAAAGAACAGUUUCAGGCGGGCAGUUUGACUGGGGCGGUCGCCUCCUAAACGGUAACGGAGGCGCACAAAGGUUUCCUCUGAACGGGUAGAAAUCGUAUCUAGAGUGUAAAGGCAUAAGGAAGCUUGACUGUGAGACCUACAAGUCGAGCAGGGACGAAAGUCGGUCUUAGUGAUCUGACGGUGCUGAGUGGAAAGGCCGUCACUCAACGGAUAAAAGUUACUCUAAGGAUAACAGGCUGAUCUCCCCCAAGAGUUCACAUCGACGGGGAGGUUUGGCACCUCGAUGUCGGCUCAUCGCAUCCUGGGGCGGUAGUACGUCCCAAGGGUUGGGCUGUUCGCCCAUGAAAGCGGUACGCGAGCUGGGUUCAGAACGUCGUGAGACAGUUCGGUCCAUACCCGGUGUAGGCGUUGGAAUAUUGAGAGGAGCCUUCUUUAGUACGAGAGGACCGAGAAGGACAUACCUCUGGUGUACCAGUUAUCGUGCCAACGGUAAACGCUGGGUAGCUAUGUGUGGAGUGGAUAACCGCUGAAAGCAUCUAAGUGGGAAGCCCACCUCAAGAUAAGUAUUCUCAUC
RNAcentral lists this ribosomal RNA (1245 nucleotides) under metagenome. RNAcentral's name for it is "bacterial LSU rRNA". It matches the Rfam family "Bacterial large subunit ribosomal RNA", at positions 1564 to 2818 of the family's 2925-position model. The record is from RNAcentral.